Molecule: ribosomal RNA, 253 nt
Filed under: uncultured bacterium
Lineage: Bacteria
Description: partial 16S ribosomal RNA
Rfam family: Bacterial small subunit ribosomal RNA
Source: RNAcentral
UACGUAGGGGGCUAGCGUUGUCCGGAUUUAUUGGGCGUAAAGAGCGUGUAGGCGGCCAGAUAGGUCUGCUGUGAAAACUCGAGGCUCAACCUCGAGAUGUCGGCGGAAACCGUGUGGCUAGAGUCCGGAAGAGGAGAGUGGAAUUCCUGGUGUAGCGGUGAAAUGCGCAGAUAUCAGGAAGAACACCAAUGGCGAAGGCAGCUCUCUGGGACGGUACUGACGCUGAGACGCGAAAGCGUGGGGAGCGAACAGG